AAAAAGGUAGGAAACAGGAGGGUGACAAACAUUGUGUGUGUUUGUAUGUGCCUGCCUGUUCUUUUAUGUAUGUGUCUAUGUGUGUCUGGUGGGGGAAUGGGCAUGGAUCAUUUUCGCACCGGGGCCCCAUGGUUUGUGUGUAUACCACUGCUUAAGCUGUAGUUGUUCUGGUGACUAGUAUCCCUUUAAUCCAGGGGUUGUCAACCUUUUAAUACCUACCACCCACUUAUGUUUCUUUUUGAUGGUAACAUUUCCUUACUGCCCAUUGAUGUCGCAUAAACUCAAUUUAAGCGCAAAACUUUAGAAA
This is a non-coding RNA of Pelobates cultripes (western spadefoot toad), 307 nucleotides long. Lineage: Eukaryota; Metazoa; Chordata; Amphibia; Anura; Pelobatidae. The record is from the annotation of a GenBank genome assembly.